This is a long non-coding RNA of Gopherus flavomarginatus (Mexican gopher tortoise), 560 nucleotides long. RefSeq lists it as uncharacterized. The record is from RefSeq and is a predicted model, not a curated record. The transcript is spliced from 3 exons. Lineage: Eukaryota; Metazoa; Chordata; Testudines; Testudinidae.
CCUAAAUGCCUGACACUCUGUCUCCUAGCAACUGAUGGCCUGGGCCCCUCCUCUGCAAAGGUGCCAGCUGAAGGUGUUGGAGACAAAGGGAUCAGGUGACCUCCUGGCCCGGGAAAGGGGCUGAGCAGAGAGGAGGGGCUGGGAGGGGGGUUGUUAGUCUGGAGCUGGCUGGGGUCAAGGGUGGAGGGCAGACAUGGGGGUCUGGCUCACUGCCCCCCAGAAUGGACCCAGCCGAGGGGUCCGGUUCUCUGUACCUACAAGCUCUGUUUUAGACCUUGUUCCUGUCAUUGAAUAAACCUCUGUUUUACUGGCUGGCUGAGAGUCACGUCUGACUGCAAAGUGGGGGUGCAGAACCCGGUGGCUUCCCCAGGACCCCGCUGGGGUGGACUCGCUGUGGGAAGCGCACGGAGGGGCAGAGGAUGCUGAAUGCUCCAAGGAGAGACCCAGGAGGUGAAGCCGUGUGAGCUUCUUGCCCUGAACAAGUCUGCUCCAAGGGAAAGGAGGCUCCCCAAAGUCCUGACUGGCUUGGUGGGGAGCAGUUCCAGAGCAUCGCCCGGGGA